Molecule: ribosomal RNA, 468 nt
Filed under: uncultured bacterium
Lineage: Bacteria
Description: partial 16S ribosomal RNA
Rfam family: Bacterial small subunit ribosomal RNA
Source: RNAcentral
GACGAACGCUGGCGGCGUGCUUAACACAUGCAAGUCGAACGGAAAGGCCCUGCUUUUGUGGGGUGCUCGAGUGGCGAACGGGUGAGUAACACGUGAGUAACCUGCCCUUGACUUUGGGAUAACUUCAGGAAACUGGGGCUAAUACCGGAUAGGAGCUCCUGCUGCAUGGUGGGGGUUGGAAAGUUUCGGCGGUUGGGGAUGGACUCGCGGCUUAUCAGCUUGUUGGUGGGGUAGUGGCUUACCAAGGCUUUGACGGGUAGCCGGCCUGAGAGGGUGACCGGCCACAUUGGGACUGAGAUACGGCCCAGACGCCUACGGGAGGCAGCAGUGGGGAAUAGUGCCCAAUGGGCGGAAGCCUGAUGCAGCAACGCCGCGUGCGGGAUGACGGCCUUCGGGUUGUAAACCGCUUUCGCCUGUGACGAAGCGUGAGUGACGGUAAUGGGUAAAGAAGCACCGGCUAACUACGUG